UGGGGAAUAUUGGACAAUGGGCGCAAGCCUGAUCCAGCCAUGCCGCGUGAGUGAAGAAGGCCCUAGGGUUGUAAAGCUCUUUCACCGGUGAAGAUAAUGACGGUAACCGGAGAAGAAGCCCCGGCUAACUUCGUGCCAGCAGCCGCGGUAAUACGAAGGGGGCUAGCGUUGUUCGGAUUUACUGGGUGUAAAGCGCACGUAGGCGGACUUUUAAUUCAGGGGUGAAAUCCCGGGGCUCAACCCCGGAACUGCCUUUGAUACUGGAAGGAUUGAGUAUGGUAGAGGUGAGUGGAAUUCCGAGUGUAGGGGUGAAAUUCGUAGAUAUUCGGAGGAAAACCAGUGGAGGAGGCGGCUCACUGGACCUAUACUGACGCUGAGGUGCGAAAGCGUGGGGAGCAAACAGG
Molecule: ribosomal RNA, 404 nt
Filed under: Actinomycetes bacterium
Lineage: Bacteria; Bacillati; Actinomycetota; Actinomycetes
Description: Actinobacteria bacterium partial 16S ribosomal RNA
Rfam family: Bacterial small subunit ribosomal RNA
Source: RNAcentral